UUGUCCUGUGACUGCGUACCUUUUGUAUAAUGGGUCAGCGACUUAUAUUCAGUGGCAAGGUUAACCAUCUAGGGGAGCCGUAGGGAAACCGAGUCUUAACUGGGCGUUCAGUCUCUGGAUAUAGACCCGAAACCAGGUGAUCUAGCCAUGGGCAGGUUGAAGGUUGAGUAACAUCAACUGGAGGACCGAACCGACUAAUGUUGAAAAAUUAGCGGAUGACUUGUGGCUAGGGGUGAAAGGCCAAUCAAACCUGGAGAUAGCUGGUUCUCCCCGAAAGCUAUUUAGGUAGCGCCUCGGACGAAUACUACUGGGGGUAGAGCACUGUUAAGGCUAGGGGGUCAUCCCGACUUACCAACCCUUUGCAAACUCCGAAUACCAGUAAGUACUAUCCGGGAGAC
Molecule: ribosomal RNA, 398 nt
Filed under: Vibrio parahaemolyticus
Lineage: Bacteria; Pseudomonadati; Pseudomonadota; Gammaproteobacteria; Vibrionales; Vibrionaceae
Description: partial 23S ribosomal RNA
Rfam family: Bacterial large subunit ribosomal RNA
Source: RNAcentral